RNAcentral lists this ribosomal RNA (370 nucleotides) under uncultured organism. Its description in RNAcentral is "bacterial LSU rRNA". It matches the Rfam family "Bacterial large subunit ribosomal RNA", at positions 2099 to 2465 of the family's 2925-position model. The record is from RNAcentral.
CUUUACUAUAACUUUACAUUGAGUUUAGAGAUUAGAUAUGUAGCAUAGAUGGGAGACUUUGAUGUGUGGAUGCCAGUUCACGCGGAGUCGUCAGUGAAAUACCAUUUUUCUAAUUUUUAAAUUCUAAUCAUACGUUAUUAAUGUUGCGGUGAGACAGUGUAUGGUGGGUAGUUUGACUGGGGCGGUCGCCUCCUAAAGAGUAACGGAGGCGUACGAAGGUAGGCUCAGCUGGGUUGGAAAUCCAGCUUUUGAGUGUAAUGGCAAAAGCCUGCUUGACUGUAAGACUGACAAGUCGAACAGGGACGAAAGUCGGUCAUAGUGACCCGGUGGUUUCUGUGAGGAAAGGCCAUCGAUCAACGGAUAAAAGGUA